UACGGAGGGUGCAAGCGUUAUCCGGAUUCACUGGGUUUAAAGGGAGCGUAGGUGGAUUGGUAAGUCAGUGGUGAAAGCCCCGAGCUCAACUCGGGAAUUGCCGUUGAUACUGCCAGUCUUGAGUACGGUUGAAGUGGGCGGAAUAUGUCAUGUAGCGGUGAAAUGCUUAGAUAUGACAUAGAACACCGAUUGCGUAGGCAGCUCACUAAGCCGUAACUGACACUGAGGCUCGAAAGCGUGGGGAUCAAACAGG
RNAcentral lists this ribosomal RNA (253 nucleotides) under uncultured bacterium. RNAcentral describes it as "partial 16S ribosomal RNA". It matches the Rfam family "Bacterial small subunit ribosomal RNA", at positions 524 to 776 of the family's 1533-position model. The record is from RNAcentral.